RNAcentral lists this ribosomal RNA (265 nucleotides) under uncultured archaeon. Its description in RNAcentral is "partial 16S ribosomal RNA". It matches the Rfam family "Archaeal small subunit ribosomal RNA", at positions 719 to 982 of the family's 1478-position model. The record is from RNAcentral.
AGUCACUGACAUUAGAUACCCGGGUAGUCCUAGCCGUAAACGAUGCAGACUAGGUGUUUGGACGGCCACGUGCCGUUCUAGUGCCGCAGGGAAGCUGUUAAGUCUGCCGCCUGGGGAGUACGAUCGCAAGAUUGAAACUUAAAGGAAUUGGCGGGGGAGCACCACAAGGGGUGAAGCUUGCGGUUUAAUUGGAGUCAACGCCGGAAAUCUCACCGGGAGCGACAGCAGUGUGAUAGCCAGAUUAAAGGUCUUGCUAGACGAGCUG